This 438-nucleotide ribosomal RNA is filed under the name Flavobacterium sp. AS6. RNAcentral's name for it is "bacterial SSU rRNA". It matches the Rfam family "Bacterial small subunit ribosomal RNA", at positions 560 to 1002 of the family's 1533-position model. The record is from RNAcentral. Lineage: Bacteria; Pseudomonadati; Bacteroidota; Flavobacteriia; Flavobacteriales; Flavobacteriaceae.
UUAAAGGGUCUGUAGGCGGUCUUGUAAGUCAGUGGUGAAAGCCCAUCGCUCAACGGUGGAACGGCCAUUGAUACUGCUGGACUUGAAUUAUUGGGAAGCAACUAGAAUAUGUAGUGUAGCGGUGAAAUGCUUAGAGAUUACAUGGAAUACCAAUUGCGAAGGCAGGUUGCUACCAAUGGAUUGACGCUGAUGGACGAAAGCGUGGGUAGCGAACAGGAUUAGAUACCCUGGUAGUCCACGCCGUAAACGAUGGAUACUAGCUGUUGGGCGCAAGUUCAGUGGCUAAGCGAAAGUGAUAAGUAUCCCACCUGGGGAGUACGAACGCAAGUUUGAAACUCAAAGGAAUUGACGGGGGCCCGCACAAGCGGUGGAGCAUGUGGUUUAAUUCGAUGAUACGCGAGGAACCUUACCAAGGCUUAAAUGCAGACUGACCGGUUU